This 301-nucleotide ribosomal RNA is filed under the name uncultured bacterium. Its description in RNAcentral is "partial 16S ribosomal RNA". It matches the Rfam family "Bacterial small subunit ribosomal RNA", at positions 509 to 807 of the family's 1533-position model. The record is from RNAcentral.
CAGCAGCCGCGGUAAUACGAAGGGUGCAAGCGUUAAUCGGAAUUACUGGGCGUAGAGCGUGCGUAGGCGGUUUGUUAAGUCUGUUGUGAAAUCCCCGGGCUCAACCUGGGAAUGGCAAUGGAUACUGGCAAGCUAGAGUGUGUCAGAGGAUGGUGGAAUUCCCGGUGUAGCGGUGAAAUGCGUAGAGAUCGGGAGGAACAUCAGUGGCGAAGGCGGCCAUCUGGGACAACACUGACGCUGAGGCACGAAAGCGUGGGGAGCAAACAGGAUUAGAUACCCCAGUAGUCCCUGUCUCUUAUAC